RNAcentral lists this unclassified non-coding RNA (206 nucleotides) under Hevea brasiliensis (rubber tree). The record is from RNAcentral. Lineage: Eukaryota; Viridiplantae; Streptophyta; Magnoliopsida; Malpighiales; Euphorbiaceae.
AGGGGGCCACAGGCCCAAGAGCAAAUGAAUCUACAAGAAGGUUCCCAAACAGUCCAGACAGAAUAGCGACAAGACCAUUGCCUAGAAAUAUUGCCUUCGAGAAAGUUAGAGACAGCCAUUGUUGAUCAAAGCCCCUCUUAUUGUGCUCUGCACCCAGCCAUGACUCAAAUGCUGAAAAUAGGAGAGAAGUGGCAAUGCCUCCCAAA